UGAAAUGGGAAUAUUCCAGAGCUGCUGGAGUUCAGAGGUGCUUGAGGAACUCCUCCUUUCCUCUGCAUGUUUAAACUUGGAAUCCAGUUGACUUCACAAACAAUGGACCCCAGGCUCAUGAACAUCCUGGCUGAAAGUGCUGGAACUUGCAUUCCUCACAGUGAAGGAUGGAAGCCCUUUGGCCUUGCCCUCCCGCCCAGCUGAUGGGAUGAGAGGCAGAUGCAGGCAGCUGUCAGGAGAGCAAAGGGAAGGGAGAUACUGGGUCCGGAAACCCUGCUGCUGCUGCGACAAGUUCUCCGGGUCCAGGCUGUGAUUUCCACAAUCUGCAUCCAAACCACAGAGUGAAGCCGAAAUUGUGUGAAUGAUCGGGAGUGUUUGCAGAGUUCAACCACAGUGUUAUCACGUUUUAUCCAAAUCUCCUAGUCCAAAAAAGAAUACCACGCCCUGUUUUUAUCUCAGUGCGGAGUGUUUCAUUUUGAUCAAAAUUGCAGUUGCGUAAUUGACAGAUGAGAGUGAGUGCUUGCAGAUGUGAAGACUGGGGUGAAAUAACACAGCAACAACACCCGCAAG
RNAcentral lists this long non-coding RNA (570 nucleotides) under Homo sapiens (human). Its description in RNAcentral is "non-protein coding LINC01254:3". Lineage: Eukaryota; Metazoa; Chordata; Mammalia; Primates; Hominidae. The record is from RNAcentral.